GGAGUCUGGGCCGUGUCUCAGUCCCAAUGUGGCCGUCCGCCCUCUCAGGCCGGCUACUGAUCGUCGCUUUGGUGGGCCGUUACCCCGCCAACUGGCUAAUCAGACGCGGAUCCAUCUUUCACCGAUAAAUCUUUCCGAGCGAUGUCAUGCGGCAUCUCUCGCGUAUGCGGUAUUACCAGCCGUUUCCAGCUGCUAUCCCCCUGUGAAAGGCAGGUUAUCCACGCGUUACUCACCCGUCCGCCACUAAACUUAAAAUUCAGACCGAAAUCGUCAUAAUAAGUCCCGUUCGACUUGCAUGUGUUAGGCACGCCGCCAGCGUUCAUC
This 324-nucleotide ribosomal RNA is filed under the name uncultured Butyrivibrio sp. RNAcentral describes it as "partial 16S ribosomal RNA". The record is from RNAcentral. Lineage: Bacteria; Bacillati; Bacillota; Clostridia; Lachnospirales; Lachnospiraceae.